Molecule: transfer RNA, 74 nt
Filed under: Endogone sp. FLAS-F59071
Lineage: Eukaryota; Fungi; Mucoromycota; Endogonomycetes; Endogonales; Endogonaceae
Rfam family: tRNA
About the family: Transfer RNA (tRNA) molecules are approximately 80 nucleotides in length. Their secondary structure includes four short double-helical elements and three loops (D, anti-codon, and T loops).
Source: Rfam by way of RNAcentral
GAGAGCGUAACUUAAUUGGUUAAAGUUUCUGACUUUUAAUCAGCAAGAUCUGAGUUCAAAUCUCAGCGUUCUCA